Molecule: non-coding RNA, 578 nt
Organism: Cinara cedri
Lineage: Eukaryota; Metazoa; Arthropoda; Insecta; Hemiptera; Aphididae
Source: the annotation of a GenBank genome assembly
CUGCACUACAAUUUUAAACUUGUAUUAAUUUUUGUCACCUUUUUUCGGGUGGUAAAACCACUUCCUACUUUUUGAUUUUCAAGUGGCACUUGUAUUAAAAAUUCCAUAAAAAGAUGGGAGUAUUAGUUAAAAUAAAUUUUAGUGUUAAAAUUUUUGAUUUCCGUCGAUUCGUUGACGAGAUAUUCCACUUUUAAGGUUCGGUUGGAGGAAAGUAGUGGAGUAUCAUUAGUGUGGUGGUACGGGGUACGGAGUGUUAAUAACGCAACACUACUCUCCUCCAACCUAAAAUUAAGUGGUAUAUCUUAUCAACGGCCUGACAUAAAUUAAAAAUGUUAACCUUAAAGUUUAUUUAAACUUAUACUCCAUCUAUUUAAGGAAUUUUUAAUAUAGGCUGCCAUUUGAAAAUCAAAAAUAGGAAGUGUUUUACCUCCCUCCCCCCCCUCCAAAAAAAGGGCGACAAAAAAUAACAUAAAUAUAAAAUUGUAGUGCAGCUUGUUUCUUAAAUGUUCUAGAAAACAAAUUUCAUAAAAAGUUAAUACUUUUAGAGAUAAUGAGUCUACCAUCUUAAAUGAAUCACC